This is a long non-coding RNA of Pogoniulus pusillus (Red-fronted tinkerbird), 227 nucleotides long. RefSeq lists it as uncharacterized. The transcript is spliced from 3 exons. NCBI's taxonomy places the organism in Eukaryota, Metazoa, Chordata, Aves, Piciformes, Lybiidae. The record is from RefSeq and is a predicted model, not a curated record.
AAAGCAAAGGUGAAACAAAAUACGAAAAUUGCAGAGCAGCAGAAGAGGAGUCAGCUAUCCGAGGGCCUCUGCUGAAAUCCCAUCUUUCGGAUACGUUUGAUAAAUGGAAAAAACUGAGAGCAGAAGCAAGAAGCUGGACCCUGAAGGUAAGGAGAGCCACUGAAGAGGAAAGGAACCCUGAGAGAUAGUUCUCAGCUAACUACUUCUGGUACUGUUAAAGACAGACA